This 459-nucleotide ribosomal RNA is filed under the name uncultured bacterium. RNAcentral's name for it is "partial 16S ribosomal RNA". It matches the Rfam family "Bacterial small subunit ribosomal RNA", at positions 338 to 795 of the family's 1533-position model. The record is from RNAcentral.
CCUACGUGGGGCAGCAGUGAGGAAUAUUGGUCAAUGGGCGCGAGCCUGAACCAGCCAAGUCGCGUGAGGGAAGACGGUCCUAUGGAUUGUAAACUUCUUUUGUCGGGGAGCAAAAGACUCCACGCGUGGCGUUCCGAGUGUACCCGAAGAAAAAGCAUCGGCUAACUCCGUGCCAGCAGCCGCGGUAAUACGGAGGAUGCGAGCGUUAUCCGGAUUUAUUGGGUUUAAAGGGUGCGCAGGCGGAAUAUAAAGUCAGCGGUAAAAUUGAGAGGCUCAACCUCUUCGAGCCGUUGAAACUGGUUUUCUUGAGUGAGCGAGAAGUAUGCGGAAUGCGUGGUGUAGCGGUGAAAUGCAUAGAUAUCACGAAGAACUCCGAUUGCGAAGGCAGCAUACCGGCGCUCAACUGACGCUCAUGCACGAAAGUGUGGGUAUCGAACAGGAUUAGAUACCCGGGUAGUC